Molecule: non-coding RNA, 30 nt
Filed under: Mus musculus (house mouse)
Lineage: Eukaryota; Metazoa; Chordata; Mammalia; Rodentia; Muridae
Source: RNAcentral
UCUGAGGAUGCUCUAGUUCCAUUAUCUCUU